This 253-nucleotide ribosomal RNA is filed under the name uncultured bacterium. RNAcentral describes it as "partial 16S ribosomal RNA". It matches the Rfam family "Bacterial small subunit ribosomal RNA", at positions 524 to 776 of the family's 1533-position model. The record is from RNAcentral.
UACGUAGGGUGCGAGCGUUAAUCGGAAUUACUGGGCGUAAAGCGUGCGCAGGCGGUUUUGUAAGUCCGAUGUGAAAUCCCUCGGCUUAACCGGGGAACUGCGUCUGAUACUGGUUGGCUCGAGUUUGGGAGAGGGAUGCGGAAUUCCAGGUGUAGCGGUGAAAUGCGUAGAUAUCUGGAGGAACACCGGUGGCGAAGGCGGCAUCCUGGACCGGCAUUGACGCUGAGGCGCGAAAGCCAGGGGAGCAAACGGG